AACCCGUCCUAUCAUCUAACCC
Molecule: non-coding RNA, 22 nt
Filed under: Arabidopsis thaliana (thale cress)
Lineage: Eukaryota; Viridiplantae; Streptophyta; Magnoliopsida; Brassicales; Brassicaceae
Source: RNAcentral